This 1119-nucleotide long non-coding RNA is filed under the name Salmo salar (Atlantic salmon). RNAcentral's name for it is "lncRNA (ENSSSAG00000120820.1)". The record is from RNAcentral. Lineage: Eukaryota; Metazoa; Chordata; Actinopteri; Salmoniformes; Salmonidae.
CAGACAGACAGACAGACAGACAGACAGACAGACAGACAGACAGACAGACAGACAGACAGACAGACAGACCUGAUUGAGGGAGAGAUGGGAGAAGUGCUGCUGUGGGGUUAUGGGUUUGAGGGACAUAUGCUGUGGGAUUGAGAGAUAUAGACGGGAGAGAGGAGAAGGUCUGUUAUGUGUUUGAGAGAGGUGUAGUUGGAGGACGGAGAGGGGUUGUUAUGUGUUUGAGAGAGGUGUAGUUGGAGGACGGAGUGGGGUUGUUAUGUGUUUGAGAGAGGUGUAGUUGGAGGACGGAGUGGGGUUGUUAUGGGUUUGAGAGAGGUGUAGUUGGAGGACGGAGUGGGGUUGUUAUGUGUUUGAGAGAGGUGUAGUUGAAGGACGGAGAGGGGUUGUUAUGAGUUUGAAAGUGGAAAGCGAGAAGAUGCAGAGGCUUGCAUGAUGUGGGAUGAUGGGAGAUAUAGAGCUGGAAGAGAUGGAGUGGUCAAAGUGUCAUGGGACUAGGGGAGAGGUAAAGGGAGCGACGGGACGGCUGUAGUGUUGUACAGAGAGAGAGGUACAGCUGAGGAGUACAAGGAUAUAUGUUGUGGGAAUGAGGAAAAGGCAGUUGGGAGAGAGAGAUGGGGGAGAGGCACAGGGUUAAGGUACUCUGUCACAUAAUGAGAGGGCUUGUACAGUACAGCAUUGUGGGAAUAAGGGAGAGGCAGAGGGAGAGAUGGCCGUCUCUGGCAGGUAGCACAUCAGAGACAGGGAGAGCUAAUGUCUCACAGGAUGGGAUGACAAAUGUGCCAGACAUGAAAGACUUCCCCAGGCCUCAGGGAACUACUUUACCUGCACACACAGCACAAACACACAUCAAGGCAGAGAACAUCCUCCACACACAUACAUGCAGGGACACACAGACGCAGGGACACACAUGCACAUACACACACACGUUUGCAUGCACACAGGCUUGUAAGCACGCACGCAUGGGAAAUCAAAUGCAAACACAAUUUAAUAUAAUUUCCCAUAUUAUAUUAUAUGGGCGCAGAAAUAGAAUAUACACUGACUGUACAAAACAUUAGGAACACCUUCCUAGUAUUGAGUUGCGUAUUGAGUACCCCUUUUCCCCUCAGAACAGCC